Phragmites australis (common reed) is the source of this 391-nucleotide long non-coding RNA. RefSeq lists it as uncharacterized. Lineage: Eukaryota; Viridiplantae; Streptophyta; Magnoliopsida; Poales; Poaceae. The record is from RefSeq and is a predicted model, not a curated record. The transcript is spliced from 3 exons.
UUCUACACAUUGAUUUUGAAGGAGCCAUUGGAUCCGAAGCCGUAGCGAAGAUGGUCUCCUGCGCGCGGCCAUAGAGACGAACAUGCAGGAACAGAUCAGCAGCAUGUCUACAAUGGUCAUGGGAUAUGCAUAUUCAUGGGACACUGCGAUCAUCUUCCCACUGGUCAAACUGGUUUUAUCUUUGUGGGAAAGGAAAAAUUGCAAAUUUUAGAAGACAACAGAUGACCAAAGCAUGCAUCACACUAUCCACUACAACAGGUUUGCACAUACACAUCCAUGGCCAACAUUUAUGUCAUAUCCUUAAGGUUUGCAACUACCUAGGCAUUGGCCCUGUUUGGCACAACUGAAACUUACGAGUUUUUUCUGAAAAGCUGCUUAUGGUUUCUGAGAA